This 258-nucleotide ribosomal RNA is filed under the name uncultured bacterium. Its description in RNAcentral is "partial 16S ribosomal RNA". It matches the Rfam family "Bacterial small subunit ribosomal RNA", at positions 524 to 776 of the family's 1533-position model. The record is from RNAcentral.
CACGUAGGGCGCAAGCGUUGUCCGGAAUUAUUGGGGCGUAAAGAGCUCGUAGGCGGCUUGUCACGUCGGUUGUGAAAGCCCCGGGGCUUAACCCCGGGUCUGCAGUCGAUACGGGCAGGCGUAGAGUUCGGUAGGGGGAGAUCGGAAUUCCUGGUGUAGCGGUGGAAAUGCGCAGAUAUCAGGAGGAACACCGGUGGCGAAGGCGGAUCUCUGGGCCGAUACUGACGCUGAGGAGCGAAAGCGUGGGGAGCGAACAGG